UUUCCGUAGGUGAACCUGCGGAAGGAUCAUUCAUUAUAAAGUGUUUUAUGGCACUUUUUAAAAAUCCAUAUCCACCUUGUGUGCAAUGUUAGAUCUCGUCAAUCUUGGCGAGAUUUUUAUACAUCAACUCAUUCUUUAACUAAUUUGUCUGAAAAAUAUUAUGAAUACUUAAUUCAAAAUACAACUUUCAACAACGGAUCUCUUGGCUCUC
Molecule: unclassified non-coding RNA, 211 nt
Filed under: plant metagenome
Description: partial contains small subunit ribosomal RNA, internal transcribed spacer 1, and 5.8S ribosomal RNA
Source: RNAcentral